CCUACGGGAGGCAGCAGUGGGGAAUCUUCCGCAAUGGACGAAAGUCUGACGGAGCAACGCCGCGUGAGUGAUGACGGCCUUCGGGUUGUAAAGCUCUGUUAAUCGGGACGAAUGGUUCUUGUGCGAAUAGUGCGAGGAUUUGACGGUACCGGAAUAGAAAGCCACGGCUAACUACGUGCCAGCAGCCGCGGUAAUACGUAGGUGGCAAGCGUUGUCCGGAAUUAUUGGGCGUAAAGCGCGCGCAGGCGGAUUGGUCAGUCUGUCUUAAAAGUUCGGGGCUUAACCCCGUGAUGGGAUGGAAACUGCCAAUCUAGAGUAUCGGAGAGGAAAGUGGAAUUCCUAGUGUAGCGGUGAAAUGCGUAGAUAUUAGGAAGAACACCAGUGGCGAAGGCGACUUUCUGGACGAAAACUGACGCUGAGGCGCGAAAGCCAGGGGAGCGAACGGGAUUAGAUACCCCAGUAGUC
RNAcentral lists this ribosomal RNA (465 nucleotides) under uncultured Veillonella sp. RNAcentral's name for it is "bacterial SSU rRNA". It matches the Rfam family "Bacterial small subunit ribosomal RNA", at positions 338 to 795 of the family's 1533-position model. The record is from RNAcentral. Lineage: Bacteria; Bacillati; Bacillota; Negativicutes; Veillonellales; Veillonellaceae.